Molecule: ribosomal RNA, 497 nt
Filed under: uncultured bacterium
Lineage: Bacteria
Description: partial 16S ribosomal RNA
Rfam family: Bacterial small subunit ribosomal RNA
Source: RNAcentral
GAUGAACGCUGGCGGCGUGCCUAAUACAUGCAAGUCGAGCGAACGGACGAGAAGCUUGCUUUUCUGAUGUUAGCGGCGGACGGGUGAGUAACACGUGGAUAACCUACCUAUAAGACUGGGAUAACUUCGGGAAACCGGAGCUAAUACCGGAUAAUAUUUUGAACCGCAUGGUUCAAAAGUGAAAGACGGUCUUGCUGUCACUUAUAGAUGGAUCCGCGCUGCAUUAGCUAGUUGGUAAGGUAACGGCUUACCAAGGCAACGAUGCAUAGCCGACCUGAGAGGGUGAUCGGCCACACUGGAACUGAGACACGGUCCAGACUCCUACGGGAGGCAGCAGUAGGGAAUCUUCCGCAAUGGGCGAAAGCCUGACGGAGCAACGCCGCGUGAGUGAUGAAGGUCUUCGGAUCGUAAAGCUCUGUUAUUAGGGAAGAACAUAUGUGUAAGUAACUGUGCACAUCUUGACGGUACCGAAUCAGAAAGCAACGGCUAACUACGUG